AUCGUGGAGUUUCUAGCACCAUACAGUUGAGCUACAGUCAUUCUUUCUGUGUGUUUGUAGGUGCGAACAGCCCUGGAGUCCAGAAUAGGCAUAGACAUGAAGGACUACAAAGAGUAUAUUGACAAUGAGAUGAUGGUCACAAUGGCACAGAUGGACAAACCUUCCAGAAUCUUGGACUACCUUUACUUGGUGAGUGUUGACAUUUGUCUUGUCUGCUAUACUGUUGGAAAUACACUUAUUUAUUCAUUUUUUUGUCCUUUUUUUUUCCCCCAAAGGGGUCCGAAUGGAAUGCUGCCAACUUUGAAGAACUACAGAAGAACAAUGUGGGCUACAUCCUCAAUGUUACCAAGGAGAUUGACAACUUUUUUCCAGAAUCCUUCACCUAUAUGAAUAUUAGAGUUUACGAUGUGGAAGCGACUGAUCUACUCUCAUACUGGAAGAACACAUACAUGUUCAUCAGUGAAGCGUUGUUAUCUCAGAAUAAACCCCUUCAGGCUGAUACAAGACCCCUCGUGAUCUCCCUGUCGGGGUUUAUUCUGAUAUAACAACCAGCUGGAUGUACAUUAUCCCUUACAUAAAUCGGUAUAUGCAGAAGCUUUCUGCAGCAUAUUGUGCACAGAAGACAGAUUUGCCAAAAUGCAUUGGAAGUAAUGUCAGCUACGAUCUCUUUUUAUUUAUUUAUUUUUUACUCCUUUAGUAGGGCUAUCAAGACAUUUUUACACAGUUGGACAAAAAAGGCUAAAUAGCCCUUUUAAAAAAAUAAUCUGAUAAAUUGAAACCACUUGCAGAAUUAGGUGGAUUUUUGUUUCACAUGUUGUUAUAAAAAAGCAGUACAGCCUACACAUUUCAAUAGUAAGUACUGAAUUUCAUUCCAAACGUGGCAUUGUGCCAUGCAGUAAACAGCGCCACAGUGCCCUCUGGAGGAGGAAGUCCAAACCAGAAGUCCGCCAGCCAUCUGUCCACAACGAAGCAGCCACAGGGAGUGAACAGGAACAGAAAGAGGAAGACUCAGAGAGCCCAGAAGAGGAAAGCAGUUAUGAGGAGGAGGAAACGGAUGUCUUUGAUGAGCAUCUGGAUGAGAGUGUUCCCGACACGUCUGGGGCAGAUACAGCUACAGCUACAUCCAACCCACUUAUUACUGUACAAGAAAGUGAUAAGGUGUCAUCUAGCCCCAGCAGAAGUGGCAGGAUGGAUUUGUUCUCUCUUAUGCAAUCUAUUCAGCUUGAUGAUGAGGACAGAGGCCUAGAUAAAGAGAUCACUGCCUGUCAGAGACUUUCUCCUGCGCAACGAAGGCGGAGUCAUGGAAGAAGAGGCUUGACUUAUCAGAGAGCGCAUGUUGAUGUUUCUCCUGAACCAAGCAGCAGACAGUCACAGAACACAAACCAGGAUGAAGCUGGUCUCUGAAGCACUUUAACAAAGGGGCCGUGUUUAGAAAUAUGGAGAAAGAGGAAUAUUAAAAGUGAAAAGGUGAGGAAAAAGAACACAAACAGUGAUGCUAAUAUAAGAGACACUCUUGCACAAGUCUUAUCCUUCUGAUUGUAUCAUUCCAAGUUCUUUGAGGAGUCAUCGCAGAAUAAAAUUAGGGAAUUUAUUCAUAUAGUUGCUGUUUUGAGGCUCAUUUAGGUAAUUUCACUUGGAGGCAACACAUAAAAGCACAUGGUUACAUAUCAAUGGCUAUCUCACUCAUUUUUCCCUCACCUGUCCAUCUAGCCUUUGAAAAAAAAAUCAGCCACCUCUUGUCAAGUGAGUAUUGAUAAAGGAACUGUUUUCCUCAGAGCAUUAUCAUUCAAAAUGUCACAUUGUGCCUUUUGAAAUCUCUGUUUCCUUUGCACCGUCAUACUGAGCCAUAAAAUUCAGUUUACUUCACAGAUUUUAAUAUGGUAUUAUAGUGCGAGUGGAGUAUUUCUCUAUGGCUGUUAUCUCUCAUGUCAUAGUACAGAAACAUGAGCUAUUCGAUAGCAUUGUUUCAUGUUGUUUUUAAUAAAUGAAUAAGAGUGUGAUUCACUCCUUUUAGGAGUCCUAUGCAAUAAAUCUACUUUAUAGCUGUUCCUUCUCCAUGAAUGUGACGCUUUAUGCUGCCCCUGUGGAGAUCAGUAGGUGAAAAAGUGUAGAGAAAGCAAUCAAGGAUUUAAACUUUUCAUGUAUACUACCAUUCAAAACUUUGGGGUCAGUAAGAAAUCAGUGCUUUUUAUUUAGCAAGGAUGCAUUAAAUUGAUUGAAAGUGACAUUUCAUUUUAUAACAUUAAAAACUAUUUCUAUUUCAAAUAAGUGCUGUUUCUUAACUUUCUAUAAAAAUGUAUCACAGGUACCAUAAUAAUUGUUUUCAACAUUUGAUGAUAAUAAGAACUGUUUCUGAGCACCAAAUCAGCAUAUUACAAUUUCUAAAAUAUCAUGUGACACUAAAGACUGGAAUAAUGGCUGCUGAAAAUUCAGCUUUGCCAUUUCAGAAAUAAACUACUUUUUAAUAUACAUUUAAUUAGAAACAAGUUAUUUUAAACUGCAAUAUUAUUUUGCAACUUUACUGUUUUUACAGUAUUUUUUUAUCAAAUAAAUGUAGCCUUGGUAAGCAUAAGAGACUUCAAAAACAUAAUCUUACUGACUCCAAACUUAUGAUUGGUAGAGUAGUUUCUUGACAGUGAUGUAGCUACUCAUGCUAUAUCAUGUUUUUAACACUUGGAGCUAUUUUCAUGUCUUUUUAAAUUAAGCAGAUGUUGUUUAAUAUUUGUUUUUAACCUGUAGAGUAUGCAGGAAACAAAACUUGAGAAGAAACCCGAGUAUUUUCCUACAAAAUGUGCCAGUUAUUUAACCGUCUCUGCUGUUUCAAUCAUUCUGCAUGAUGGUUCAGUGCCUUUAGUUGAUAGAGGUGGACCAAAAUAACUACAUUUGUUGGUUUUAAUAUCCGUGCAGUUAAAACUAGCACAACUAACUCCUACAUAAUACAUGUGUCUUUAGCCCUAGGUGUGGUUGAUUUGUGUCUUUGCAUGAUGUCUCAAGUAUCGGACUGUAUGCAUGCUGUUUGUACUGUAUGUAAGCCUGUCUUUGUGAAGCAUGAGUCCUGUAUGUAUAAAGUAUACACAAUCUGCUGUAAAACAUUUGUUGAAAUGUGUAUACUGUCAUUGCACAAAGUGCCAAUGUUGUGAAACCAAAGUUAUGUCGUGGAAUGUUUCUAGUAUUGAGGCACCACUGGUUUUGCAGUUAUUUUCCAUGAGAAUGUCUUAAGUUAUGUGUAUUAGCGAUAGAGGAUGACCUACAGCCUUCAAAGUGCUGAUUUUCUUCACUUAAUGUAUAAUGUGCCAUGCCUUAUCAACUUCAAAAACAGUGAUACAUUUUAUUCUGAUGUAACUCGCAUUUCCAUUGUUGGUAUCAGGUGGCGUUAAAUAUCAAGUCAAGGUGUCUGUUGCUUUUUCUAUUUAUGACUGAUCUGAACAUGUAUCUUUUUAAUUUGAUAUACAAAGUUGUCUGUGCUAUAAAAAUUAAAAUGAAUUUAUAAUGGGGCUUGAGAAAUAUCUAAUGGAAACUCUCAUUGAUUGUUUUUGUAUAAUGUAGUGUUUCAGGUUGUAAGAUAUUCCUAUUCUUAAUAAUGCUACUGUAAAAUUGUGUGUUUGUAUAUGUGAAAAUUCAUAUUCAUAUAUACAGUAUCACAGAAUUGAGUACACCCCUCACAUUUUUGUAAAUAUUUUAUUAUAUCUUUUCAUGUGACAACACUGAAGAAAUUACACUUUGCUACAAUGUAAAGUAGUGAGUGUACAGCUUGUAUAACAGUGUAAAUUUGCUGUCCCCUCAAAAUGACUCAACACACAGCCAUUAAUGUCUAAACC
Long non-coding RNA from Sinocyclocheilus anshuiensis, 3818 nucleotides. NCBI's taxonomy places the organism in Eukaryota, Metazoa, Chordata, Actinopteri, Cypriniformes, Cyprinidae. The record is from Ensembl.